Molecule: long non-coding RNA, 1935 nt
Filed under: Salmo salar (Atlantic salmon)
Lineage: Eukaryota; Metazoa; Chordata; Actinopteri; Salmoniformes; Salmonidae
Description: lncRNA (ENSSSAG00000083171.1)
Source: RNAcentral
GUACAGGCAAGGCACUGGAGCCCACAUAUACCUAAAAAAAACUGUAAGGCCAGCAAUAAAGCUAGCGUCUUUGUUCAAUGGUGGAGUCAAAGUUGGGGGCUUGUCAAAGUUGGGGGCGGCAAGCACUGGGGCACUACAAAGUAGCGCUUUGGCGGACUCGAGCAUAGUUACAGUCCUGGGACCACUUAUAUGGUACUUUGGGACUAAGCAGAGAUGUAAGGGGAGCUACUACCAUCGAAAAUGUCUUACAGAAUGUACGAUAGUACCCUGCCACCCCCAGGAAUCUGUGCAACUGGCGGCGAGUCGUGGUAGCAGGAAAAGCAACAAUUGAUCCACUUGCCAGUUACUGGGCGCACUUGACCUCGUCCCACCUGCUUCCCUAAGUAAGUCACAGUAGCCUUCCCAAACUUACACUUGGCCAAAUUGAGGGUUAAAAGAAGCAUUCUCCAACCUCUGAAACACCCUUUAAGGUGGCGAGAUGAUCAGAUGAAUGAAUCACCACAUCAAUGAUAGUCAGACAGGAAAUGUCCAGAAGAAGGCUGAUGGGCUUUACCUCAGUGUGAAACAGAGGGAAUACUACCUCUACCGUUUGACAGACGGCAACAAGAGGAAGACAAGGCAGCCUUGACAACUGCCAUUGUUCAACUUGACGAGCAGCAGGCAGAGUUUUGGCUCCCCACAGAGGAUAAGCUGCUCAAUACUGACAACUUUGUGUGGCCAUGGGAGAGACUAGGCACCAGCAACAGCCAUCUUGCAAUCAAAAAGGCAAUCUUGGACAGACGGACGUUGCUGAACAGACUGCAGGAGGAAGAGAAGAUCCUGGUGCAGGAGAUGAAGAGGGACUGGGAGAGCCUACAAAGAGCAGUGGGAACUGGAAGCGCUGGGGGAGCCUACAAAGAGCAGUGGGAACUCUGGAGGCUUUGUCCCUGCAUCUGCAAGAUCAGAGCAAUGCAGUGGAGUUAUCAGAGAGAGGGAGGAAUGGCCUUUUCUGCCUCCUGAAGAGAAGAUUGAGUGAACCGACACAAGACCAAGACAACAGCAGGAAUACCUACCACAAGCUGAUUCUGGGAGAAGGGGCUAUUUUUGAUGACUCUGAUGAAGAUGAGAACUCAGAUGAAGAUGUAUGUCCUAUUGCUGAGAGCUCAGAUGAAGAUAGAAGUCCUAUUGCUGAGAGCUCAGAUGAAGAUAUAAGUCCUAUUGCUGAGAGCUUAGAUGACGACUGCUGUGUUUUCUGAAAUCAUACACCACCCCUGCCUCUCUCGCUCGCUCUCUCUCGCUCUCUCGCUCUCUCUCUCUCUCUCUCUCUCUCUCUUGCAGGAGAGAGAGAAGGCUGCCACCACCUCCCUCGGGAGCAGCCUAGUCUCCCGAUGUUGACCCCUGACCCCUCACCUUCUGAACCCUUCCAGGGAAAUGUAAUUUGACUGAUACGCUAGUGGAGAAGGAAUGUCUAAUUUCAGCGCAUUUGUUGCCAUGUUUCCUCUCCUCCGUUUCUUCUGGUCCUAUGGCGACUAUGGCGACAUCAGCAGCAACUCAGAAUGUUGGCUUAGGACUUCUUUACUGAGGAAUGUGGUUGUUGUUAAUGUUAUUUUGUUAUUAUAUAUAUUUUUUGUAUUUUCUAUGCUGCUCGGAUUGUGAUUUUGGUGUAAUUUUGAGUUGCAAAAUAGUCCUUGGUCUCAAUUGGACUGCUUAAAUAAAUAAAGUAAAAGUCUUAAUAAAUAAAUCAAUAACAGGUCUGUACAUAGUAUGAAUAAAUUAUUUUGAUGUAAUAAAAAGUGUAAUACAUUGCUGCCCCUUUCAGCAUUGUAAGUACAUCACCUAUCUGAAAUGUGACUUGCCAAAUCUAACAGUAGCCUAUCAAUCGUUUUUAUGUUUGACUUUAAAUCAGUUAACGGUGUAUCAAUGAAAAUCUGAUAUUGAGUGGAAUGUACUGCUGCC